Molecule: transfer RNA, 72 nt
Filed under: Camelus bactrianus (Bactrian camel)
Lineage: Eukaryota; Metazoa; Chordata; Mammalia; Artiodactyla; Camelidae
Also listed under: 1 other name
Rfam family: tRNA
About the family: Transfer RNA (tRNA) molecules are approximately 80 nucleotides in length. Their secondary structure includes four short double-helical elements and three loops (D, anti-codon, and T loops).
Source: Rfam by way of RNAcentral
GUGGGUAUAGCUCAGGGGCAGAGUGCAUGCUUAGUGUGUUUGAGGUCCUGGGUUCAAUCCCCAGUACUACCA